AAGCAAAGAUAAAAACGCAACGCGCAUUUGCGCAAGAGCCGGUAGGUAGCCCGGCCGUCCUGUUAUUACAGGGUAAGUAACCUGCCCCUCCGGGUUGUCCGUUCUUUGCUCAUU
This 114-nucleotide non-coding RNA is filed under the name human gut metagenome. RNAcentral describes it as "yjdF RNA". It matches the Rfam family "azaaromatic riboswitch aptamer (yjdF RNA)". RNAcentral also lists the same sequence under 1 other name. The record is from RNAcentral.